RNAcentral lists this ribosomal RNA (466 nucleotides) under uncultured bacterium. RNAcentral describes it as "partial 16S ribosomal RNA". It matches the Rfam family "Bacterial small subunit ribosomal RNA", at positions 339 to 795 of the family's 1533-position model. The record is from RNAcentral.
CUACGGGUGGCAGCAGUGGGGAAUAUUGGACAAUGGGGGAAACCCUGAUCCAGCAAUGCCGCGUGUGUGAAGAAGGCCUGCGGGUUGUAAAGCACUUUCGGUUGGGAGGACUGCUUCUAGCACUAAUAUUGUUGGAAGUUGACGUUACCUUCAGAAGAAGCACCGGCUAACGUCCGUGCCAGCAGCCGCGGUAAUACGGAGGGUGCAAGCGUUAAUCGGAAUUACUGGGCGUAAAGCGCGCGUAGGCGGCUAGAUCAGUCGGGUGUGAAAGCCCCGGGCUUAACCUGGGAACUGCAUCCGAUACUGUCUAGCUUGAGUACAGGAGAGGAGAGUGGAAUUCCACACGUAGCGGUGAAAUGCGUAGAUAUGUGGAGGAACACCAAUGGCGAAGGCAGCUCUCUGGCCUGAUACUGACGCUGAGAUGCGAAAGCGUGGGGAGCAAACAGGAUUAGAUACCCUAGUAGUC